This 253-nucleotide ribosomal RNA is filed under the name uncultured bacterium. RNAcentral's name for it is "partial 16S ribosomal RNA". It matches the Rfam family "Bacterial small subunit ribosomal RNA", at positions 524 to 776 of the family's 1533-position model. The record is from RNAcentral.
UACGUAGGGGGCAAGCGUUGUCCGGAUUUAUUGGGCGUAAAGAGCGUGUAGGCGGCCAUGCAGGUCAGCUGUGAAAACUCAAGGCUCAACCUUGAGACGGCGGUUGAAACCGUAUGGCUAGAGUCCGGAAGAGGAGAGUGGAAUUCCCGGUGUAGCGGUGAAAUGCGCAGAUAUCGGGAAGAACACCCAUGGCGAAGGCAGCUCUCUGGGACGGUACUGACGCUGAGACGCGAAAGCGUGGGGAGCAAACAGG